RNAcentral lists this ribosomal RNA (453 nucleotides) under uncultured Prevotellaceae bacterium. Its description in RNAcentral is "partial 16S ribosomal RNA". It matches the Rfam family "Bacterial small subunit ribosomal RNA", at positions 341 to 792 of the family's 1533-position model. Lineage: Bacteria; Pseudomonadati; Bacteroidota; Bacteroidia; Bacteroidales; Prevotellaceae. The record is from RNAcentral.
ACGGAAGGCAGCCGUGAGGCAUAUUGGUCAAUGGUCGGAAGACUGAACCAGCCAAGUAGCGUGAAUUAUGACUGCCCUAUGGGUUGUAAACUUCUUUUAUGCGGGAAUAAAAAGGAUUACGUGUAGUCUGUUGCAUUUACCGCAUGAAUAAGGAUCGGCUAAUUCCGUGCCAGCAGCCGCGGUAAUACGGAAGAUCCGAGCGUUAUCCGGAUUUAUUGGGUUUAAAGGGAGCGUAGGCGGGCCUUUAAGUCAGUGGUCAAAGCGUGUGGCUCAACCAUACCACGCCGUUGAUACUGGAGGCCUUGAGUGCACAUAAGGAUGGUGGAAUUCAUGGUGUAGCGGUGAAAUGCGUAGAUAUCAUGAAGAACUCCGAUUGCGAAGGCAGCUGUCCGGGGUGUAACUGACGCUAAUGCUCGAAAGUGCGGGUAUCAAACAGGAUUAGAUACCCUGGUA